Molecule: RNA transcript, 9276 nt
Organism: Zalophus californianus (California sea lion)
Lineage: Eukaryota; Metazoa; Chordata; Mammalia; Carnivora; Otariidae
Gene: VWA8
Gene name: von Willebrand factor A domain containing 8
Exons: 47
Source: RefSeq, a predicted model, not a curated record
GCUUCCUGUCCCUCUCGUCGCGCCGCCUCACGCUCCCUAUCCCGGACGCGGCUCGCGCGGGACCCGCUCCCCGGCCCCGGCGACCCCUACCUCCCCCGGUGCCAUGCAGUCCCGGCUUCUGCUCCUCGGGGCGCCGGGCGGCCACGGCGGCCCGGCGGCGCGGCGCGUGCGGCUGCUCCUGCGACAGGUGGUGCGGGGCAGGCCCGGCGGCGACUGGAGGUGGUCGGAGGUCAGACUGCUGCGUGCCGGGGCGGGGGCCGACACAGGCGAUACAGUUAAUAUUGGAGAUGUAUCCUACAAGUUGAAAACUCCUAAGAGCCCAGAACUUGUGCCACAGAACUACAUUUCAGACUCUGUGGCUCAAUCUGUAAUUCAGCAUCUAAGAUGGAUAAUGCAGAAGGAUCUUUUGGGACAAGAUGUCUUUCUGAUAGGACCUCCUGGGCCUCUUCGACGCUCUAUUGCUAUGCAGUACCUGGAGCUGACCAAAAGGGAAGUUGAAUACAUUGCCCUGUCAAGGGACACCACUGAAACCGAUCUCAAACAGCGUCGAGAGAUCCGAGGAGGCACAGCUUUUUACAUUGAUCAGUGCGCGGUCCGUGCAGCCACAGAAGGCAGAACCCUCGUUUUGGAAGGCUUGGAAAAGGCGGAGAGGAAUGUUCUGCCCGUUUUGAACAACUUGCUGGAAAACAGGGAAAUGCAGCUUGAGGAUGGACGCUUCCUAAUGUCUUCAGAGCGCUAUGACAAACUUCUCCAAGCUCAUACCAGAACAGAGUUGGAUGCUUGGAAGAUUGUUCGGGUUAGUGAAAACUUCCGAGUCAUUGCAUUGGGCUUGCCAGUGCCUAAGUACUCUGGGAAUCCAUUAGACCCCCCUCUCCGUUCUCGAUUUCAGGCCAGAGAUAUUUAUUAUCUACCCUUUAAGGACCAACUUAAACUGUUAUAUUCCGUUGGAGCCAGUGUUCCUGCUGAGAAAAUUUCUCAGCUCCUGUCCUUUGCCACCACUCUCUGUUCCCAAGAAUCUUCUACUCUUGGACUUCCAGAUUUUCCUUUAGAUAGUUUACCAGCUGCAGUUCAAAUCCUGGAUUCCUUUCCUAUGAUGUCAGUCAAACAUGCAAUCAAGUGGCUUUACCCAUACACUAUUUUACUAGGACACGAAGGGAAGAUGGCUGUGGAAGGUGUUUUAAAACGCUUUGAACUCCAAGAUUCCGAAAGCUCUGUGCUUCCGAAAGAGGUGGUGAGAGUGGAGAGGCUUGCGGAGAGCCCUGCCCCCCAAGCUAAUGUGACUAUCCGGAUAGCAGAAAAAGAGGUGACCAUUCAGGUGCCAGCUGGGACCAGGCCAGUAAAUCAACCUUGUGCAUCAGACCAUUUUAUACAAACUUUAAGCCAUAAACAACUACUGGCUGAGAUGAUGCAGUCUCACAUGGUUAAGGACAUAUGUUUAAUUGGAGGAAAAGGUUGUGGAAAAACAGUCAUUGUUAAGAACUUUGCAGAUAACUUAGGAUACAACAUAGAACCCAUCAUGCUCUAUCAGGAUAUGACUGCACGUGACCUGCUACAGCAGAGAUACACUCUUCCCAACGGAGACACUGCGUGGCGGUCCUCACCCCUUGUGAACGCUGCUCUGGAAGGAAAGCUUGUCCUCUUGGAUGGCAUCCACCGGGUCAAUGUGGGCACACUUGCUGUGUUGCAAAGGUUGAUCCACGACCGGGAGCUAAGCCUCUAUGACGGCUCUAGGAUGCUGAGAGAAGACAGGUAUAUGCGCUUAAAGGAAGAGUUGCAACUGUCUGAUGAGCAGCUACGGCAGAGAUCCAUUUUUCCUGUCCACCCCUCCUUCAGAAUCAUCGCCUUGGCAGAGCCCCCUGUUAUUGGAAGCACAACACAGCAGUGGCUGGGACCAGAAUUCUUAACCAUGUUCUUUUUCCAUUAUAUGAAACCACUUGUCAAAAGUGAAGAAAUUCAAGUGAUUAAGGAAAUGGUCCCAAAUAUACCUCAGGAAGCUUUGGACAGAUUGUUAUCAUUUACCCACAAACUCAGAGAGACACAGGAUCUCACGGCACAGUCACUGGCCGCAUCACUUUCUACCAGACAGCUGUUGCGGAUUUCUCGUCGGCUGUCACAGUACCCUAAUGAAAAUCUUCACAGUGCAGUUAUGAAAACCUGCCUUUCCAGGUUCUUACCAAGCCUUGCAAGGUCAGCAUUAGAAAAAAACUUGGCAGAUGCUGCAAUAGAAAUAAGUACUGAUAAUCAUCAGGAACCAGAACUGGAGGAUUACAAAUGUGAAAUAGCAUCUGGAUCCCUGAGGAUUGGGGCUGUUAGUGCACCGAUCUAUAAUGCCCAUGAGAAAAUGAAAGUGCCUGAUGUUCUGUUCUAUGACAACAUUCAGCACAUGAUAGUGAUGGAAGACAUGCUGAAGGACUUUCUUCUCGGAGAACACCUAUUAUUGGUUGGUAACCAGGGUGUAGGAAAAAACAAGAUUGUUGACAGAUUCCUUCACCUGCUCAACAGACCCCGAGAAUACAUCCAGCUGCACAGGGACACCACAGUACAAACCCUUACUCUUCAGCCUUCUGUUCAAGAUGGACUAAUUGUGUAUGAAGACUCACCUUUGGUUAAAGCAGUAAAGUUGGGUCAUGUUCUGGUGGUAGAUGAGGCAGACAAAGCCCCAACAAAUGUCACCUGUAUUUUAAAAACUCUAGUAGAAAAUGGAGAAAUGAUUCUAGCAGAUGGAAGACGCAUUGUUGCAAAUUCUGCUAAUGUUAAUGGAAGAGAAAAUGUUAUUGUGAUUCAUCCUGAUUUUAGAAUGAUUGUCUUGGCCAACAGACCUGGAUUUCCUUUCUUAGGCAAUGAUUUCUUCGGUACUUUAGGUGAUAUUUUUAGCUGCCAUGCAGUUGAUAAUCCCAAACCCCAUUCAGAGCUCGAAAUGCUCAGGCAAUAUGGACCAAAUGUGUCUGAACCCAUCCUUCAGAAACUUGUGGCUGCCUUUGGAGAGCUGAGGAGUUUAGCUGACCAGGGGAUUAUUAACUAUCCUUAUUCUACCAGAGAAGUUGUCAACAUAGUGAAACAUUUACAGAAAUUUCCCACUGAAGGUCUCUCCACUGUGGUUAGGAAUGUGUUUGACUUCGAUUCCUACAACAACGACAUGAGGGAGAUUUUGAUUAACACUUUGCACAAGUACGGGAUACCUAUCGGAGCAAAACCAACCAGUGUCCAGCUGGCGAAGGAGUUGCCUCUGCCAGAGCAGACGUUCAUGGGCUACUGGACAAUUGGUCAGUCAAGAAAUGGAAUACAAAAACUGUUGUGUCCAGCAGAAACUCAUCAUAUAGACAUAAAGGGUCCAGCCCUUAUAAACAUACAGGAGUAUCCAAUAGAAAGAUAUGAAGAAAGAUCUCAAACCUUUACUGAAGAAUGUGCCUCCUGGAAGUUACCAUUGGAUGAAAUUAACUUAAUCUGUGACAUUGCUACAUCACGUGAAAAUGAGGAAAAUACCCUCUACGUAGUUGCAUGCAAUCCCAUCACCUUAUACUUUAUGAACAUGUCUGGAAAAAGUGGCUACUUGGCGGACUUUUCUGACGUCUUCCCAAGAAUGGCCAGUAGAGUUUGGCACCCAUUUGUGACAGUGGCACCACUGGGAAAUCCCCUCAAGAGUCAAGUGAUUCUCCAUGAGCAGCAGAGUAAUGUCAUCCUAUUGUUAGAUACCACUGGCCAAGCCCUUCGACGUCUCAUCCUCCCUUCAGAAGAGGGUCCAUCUAAGAAACUUUCCUGGUGGAACAAGGAGGAAACGGAAACUUACAAAAUGUGUAAAGAAUUUUCACACAAAAACUGGCUAGUAUUCUACAAAGAAAAUGGGAACACCCUGACUGUGCUGGAUGUUCUAGAAGGGCGAACUCACACCAUCUCACUUCCCAUCAACCUCAAGACAGUUUUUCUUGUAGCAGAGGACAAGUGGCUUCUGGUGGAGGACAAAACAAACCAGAAAUAUCUUUUAAGUAAGCCUGCACACAUUGCAUCUGAGGAUAGUGGGGUUUGCCAGUUGUACGUGUUGAAAGAGGAGCCCCCUAGCACAGGAUUUGGAGUUACACAAGAAGCAGAUCUCAGCAUACCUCAUACAAUUUCAAGUGAUCAACUAUCAUCUGAAAAUCUGAGUUCAGCUGUCGGACAAAAGAUUGCCUCUCCUAACCGAAUUCUCUCAGAUGAGAAUAGUUAUGCUACAGUUGUUAUCGGCUUCCCAGAUCUUAUGUCACCCAGUGAAGUCUAUUCUUGGAGAAGGCCAUCAUCCUUGCAUAAACCAAGUGUCACUGACAGAACAUUCUAUGGAGAAAAGAAGAAAAGUGAAACUCCAAAACAGAGCAAUUGUGUGACUCUUUUAGAUACUAAUCAGAUAGUCAGGAUUCUGCCCCCGGGAGAAGUCCCUCUAAAAGAUGUCUACCCAAAAGAUGUGACCCCUCCGCAAACAGCUGGUUAUAUAGAAAUCACUGACCUUCAAUCAAAGAAACUCCGAUAUAUCCCUGUUCCCAGAUCAGAAUCUCUCUCGCCAUAUACCACAUGGCUAUCUACUAUUUCGGACACAGAUGCUCUGCUAGCUGAGUGGGGCAAAGGUGGUGUUGUUACUGUUGAUAUGGGAGGUUGCAUCAGACUCUGGGAAACUGGACUUGAACAUCUGCAGCGAUCACUCACGGAAUGGAGAAACAUGAUUGGACAAGAAGGUGACCGACAUAUUCAGAUUACAGUCAACAGAGACAGUGGUGAAGACGUGAGCUCCCCCAAACACGGGAAGGAGGACCCAGACAACAUGCCCCAUGUGGGCGGCAAUACGUGGGCUGGCGGAACAGGAGGAAGAGACACCGCAGGUCUGGGCGGCAAAGGCGGUCCAUACCGGCUGGACGCAGGCCAUACCGUGUACCAGGUGUCGGAGGCUGAGAAGGACGCGGUUCCUGAGGAGGUGAAGAGAGCUGCCAGAGAGAUGGGCCAGAAGGCCUUUCAGCAGCGGUUAAAGGAGAUCCGAAUGAGUGAGUAUGAUGCCGCAACGUAUGAAAGGUUCUCAGGUGCUGUUCGACGGCAGGUGCACUCACUCCGAGUCAUCCUGGAUAAUUUACAGGCUAAAGGUAAAGAAAGACAGUGGCUAAGACACCAAGCCACAGGUGAGCUAGAUGAUGCCAAGAUCAUUGAUGGGCUGACUGGAGAAAAAGCCAUCUACAAACGCCGGGGUGAUCUGGAGCCACAACUGGGCAGCCCCCAACAGAAACCCAAGCGCCUGCGCCUGGUGGUCGAUGUAUCUGGCAGCAUGUACCGCUUUAACGGGGUCGACAGCCGGCUGGAGCGCUCGAUGGAGGCCGUGUGUAUGGUCAUGGAAGCCUUCGAGAACUAUGAGGAGAAGUUCAAGUAUGACAUCGUUGGACAUUCUGGAGAUGGCUACAACAUUGGUCUAGUUCCACUUAACAAAAUCCCCAAGGACAAUAAGCAAAGACUAGAAAUUCUGAAGACAAUGCAUGCCCAUGCUCAGUUCUGCAUGAGUGGGGACCACACGUUAGAGGGGACACAACAUGCCAUCAAGGAGAUUGUCAAAGAAGAAGCUGACGAGUACUUUGUCAUCGUCCUAAGUGAUGCAAACCUGUCACGAUAUGGAAUACAUCCUGCCAAGUUUGCCCAAAUCCUGACAAGUAACCCUCAAGUAAAUGCUUUUGCCAUUUUCAUUGGAUCUUUAGGUGAUCAAGCAACCAGGCUUCAGAGAACUCUACCAGCUGGCCGGUCCUUCGUUGCCAUGGAUACCAAGGACAUCCCCCAGAUUUUACAACAGAUCUUCACCUCCACCAUGCUGUCCACUGUUUAGGAUGGGCCCUUCUUCACCUUGCUGACCCCGGGAUGUAAAAUAUGAUAGGAAUAAAGAGUCCCCUGAAGAAAAGACGACAUCUAUAAAGGAACCUGCGCAGUGACUGAAGGAUUCUGGCAUUCCUGGCGCUUCCUGGGCUCGCUCAGGGAUCAGAAUUCAGGAAAGCAGCCAGAGGGAGCUUGUGCGUGGAAAUCUACCACCAGUGAUGGGUUCGCAGGGAAGCGAGCUGACCGGCGUUUUAUAAAAGGAAAGAAAACACGCGUCUGUUCCUCCACCCCAACUCCCUAUCAACUGUCAAAGAAAUAAAGCAACCCGGUUCCCAGUGCUGUCCUGUCCAGUGACCUCACAUGGCUCGUCUCGUUUUUCCAGCCAGACACGCGCUCUGCGCUCUGCGUAUUGAAUCAGCCAGUGAUGCAGUUUCAAUCCAAUAAUACCUUCAAAACUGUAACCGAAUUAGCAACAGUAAUAGUAAUAACAGCAACAACCACUAGCAUUUACUGAGUACUUAAAAUGUCCCAGGUAUGCGACGGGACUUCAGGCAUCGUUCCAUUCCACCCUCACAACGAUGCAUGUAAAACAGGUAUUUCUUAACUCAUUUUACAGAUAAGGCAAGUAAGUCACUUCCCAAAACUGGACAAUUGACUAUUCACUGUUCUCUUAACAUCCUUCUUGACAAAUAAGGAAAUCGAGGCGUAGGAAAGUUCAAGAAAACAGUCCACACUCACAGUCAGGUGGGGGCCCAGCGGGGCUGCGCCGGCCCCUUUCAUGGAUUAUUCUUACGGAAGGAGAGCUCUUGCCUUCUUGGCUCCUUUGUCUCCUUGCAGCCUGACCAGGUUCGGGGAGCCUUCUUCCUCUCCCUGGCACUCUCCCUGCACACACUCGGGCACUCAGAGGAGCGUGUGGGGACCCAGGACAGGAGCCACUGCGGGAGGGACACCUCUCACAGGCCUUCCUGGGCUCAGCGGCAGCUUAAUCCCUGGGGGUGCCCCCUCUGCGGGAGGGUCAAAGACCCCAAAUGCUUCGCCCAGAAUCCAAGAGUUAGUAACAGAAUGGCCUUUUAACAAAUCCUGCCUGUGCCCUAACUACCUGAGUGAGCAGAAGCCAUUUUUUUUAACAUGGGAAGAAUGUUCUCAUAUAAUUCAAUUUCCCUUUCCCCACUGGCCAGACGUCCUUGCAAUUGUUAUUUUAAAACACACACACACACACACACACACACACACACACACACACACACACACACACACACACACACACACAAAAACAUGUAACUCCUGACUUAGUUGUAAAAGGGAAAGAUGAUGGGGAAGGGGAGCGGAGAGAGGGUAGCUGAGAAGGUUAUUUUCACUUCUUGGAAUACCUAAGAAGUUUGUGCCUUUAUUAUUAAAUGUACUUAAUUAUAGGCCACUCCAAGCUGUUCCCAGGCCCCCCCAGGGCCAAGACAUUAUAAUAAAUGCAUUGUUUGCCUCAGGGGGGGGUUCUACUGAAAGGCCUCUAAACCAGCUCUUCCCAGUAGUGAGCCCGUGUAAUGCUGAGAAGGUUCAUUGUGACCCAUGAGCACCGGGAGGAACGAAGCCUAUGAAUGGCCGCCGCCGUCUAUGUGUUGUGUAUCCCUCCCGGGAAUCUUUUGUGUGCCCCAGCAAGAUGACCUCAUCACCCAUGGGGCACCUCCAGCGAGCCCAGCCGCAAGGAGUAGAUCCGAGCAGGAGUACUUGAGCCUGUCACGUUUGGAAUGAAUCAUUUAAUUCUUUCCUGUGAACUGUCAGAGGAGGAGAAAUCCAUCAAUGCCAGUAGGAUUUUCUCUGAACAAACUCGAGGGCUUUGAAAGCCAUUUAGAAGUAGCUCUCCGUGGACAGCAUCGUUCAGUGUUCCUGAACGGCCAGCUCCAGAGGCUUCAACCCUCCCUCCACCUGGCUCCUUCCUGCGCCUGUCAGCUCAGCCAGAACUAAAUUCCUUCACGAACGGAGCAGAGAGAUUUCCUGCGAUGAAAGUACUACAGGUAAUGGAAAGGAAUUCCAGUGUUCGAUCUUGUGGUGGAAGAAUUUAUAAACUCUAAGUAGAAUUACUCAGUAGAAAGGAAGUUCUAGAUGCUGCUGUGAUGUGUGAACUUGGGCUUGUCACUUCUGGGUCUCAGUUGCUUCAUCUAUUUAAAAUUAUUUAAAUUUAAAAAGUUGAACCAAAUUAUCUCUAACACUAUAGUCCCUGUUUCUGUAUCUCAUAGAGCCAAUUGACUCUGUGCCUCACACAUCUUAGAAGAACCACAUCAUCUCAGUGUGUUUUUGCCUCCAGAACCCCACAAACAGCCCCUACUAUGCAGAGGAUUUGGGCACCUAAACCCAUUACCCGAACAAUAUAGUGUUACUGACAGAAUAUGCAAUUCUAAAAGCUACAAAAACAUCAUUAGAUUUGGACAAGCAGGGCUUUCCCCCAUCAGCUGGACAGAUACUUCUGUUAGACAGUCAUUCAUAAGAUUUCUGCCCAUUGUCUCUCACUUUGCAUUUUGCUGCCUUAAAAUAAAACUCCCUAUCUGCUGAUCUGCACAGUGGGAUCAAAAAGAUCAGGAAUUGGAAAACUACUGGGUGCCCGGAGCUGACCUUAGUGCUGCAAGCUGAACAAUGCGCAAUUGUGGGGGGGGGGGGGGCGGGGAGGGAGGUUUUCAUUGUUAAAUCCUGUAAACAAAAAUCUCCUCCAGAGGGGAAAAAAUGCUUGCCAAGCAGUCCUCCCCAGCUGAAAAUGAUCUGACACUCUUUUUUGACUCUGAACGCCGACUGGGGCUUGCACCUUCCAACAGAGACCCUGUCUGUGCCCGCGGCUUUGGAAUGCCGAAGUCACAUAAUCUCAAAAUCGAGUGGCGCUUGUGGUAUUUGGCCACUCGGAGCAAAGGAUAACACUCUUCUAAGGUGGUUUGGACCCAGAGCGUGGUGAGAACGUCAUGUUCAGCUCAAAGAAAUCUCAUCAGGGGACACGUGAGCUCUAAGGAACAACAGCCCCCACGCACGGUCUUCUCCCCCAGGCAGGCGCCAGACUCACCUUGGGGCUCCUCUCUUCUCGAGACUUUGUGAAAGUGCUUUCUCUUUCCCUGAAAAAGCAAUCCGUGUUGGCCAAUCAACUCUGAUUCCAGAGAUGGUGGGUGUGAGCCCAGAGGAGUUUCAGAGUAUCAGGAUUUCUUAAAAUUCCGUGCAACUCUGAAGACUUUCCGUGCAACUCUGAAGCCUUAGAAACAGUAGCGAGAGUUUGACCUGGAAAGGGAAGGGGGAAUUGUCAGUCGGAACAUCCCGCAGCAGGUUUGUCUCUUUAUGCUGGCCAGACUGGGGCAAGCAAAUAAUGAGCCUGUCAAGAGCUCCGGGUAAUUGGUCUCAUGAUACCAUACAUGAAGCCUUAUUAGUUGAAAUGAAGAAAAAUAAGUAUGUUUACUCAGACAGGACAUUAAGGUUGGGUUUUAAAGUGCAAUAUAU